This 481-nucleotide ribosomal RNA is filed under the name uncultured bacterium. Its description in RNAcentral is "partial 16S ribosomal RNA". It matches the Rfam family "Bacterial small subunit ribosomal RNA", at positions 30 to 507 of the family's 1533-position model. The record is from RNAcentral.
AUUGAACGCUGGCGGCAUGCUUUACACAUGCAAGUCGAACGGCAGCGCGGGGCAACCUGGCGGCGAGUGGCGAACGGGUGAGUAAUACAUCGGAACGUACCCAGAAGUGGGGGAUAACGUAGCGAAAGUUACGCUAAUACCGCAUACGUUCUACGGAAGAAAGUGGGGGACCUUCGGGCCUCAUGCUUUUGGAGCGGCCGAUGUCUGAUUAGCUAGUUGGUGAGGUAAAGGCUCACCAAGGCGACGAUCAGUAGCUGGUCUGAGAGGACGACCAGCCACACUGGAACUGGGAAACGGCCAGACUCCUACGGGAGGCAGCAGUGGGGAAUUUUGGACAAUGGGCGCAAGCCUGAUCCAGCAAUGCCGCGUGAGUGAAGAAGGCCUUCGGGUUGUAAAGCUCUUUUGUCAGGGAAGAAACGGCUGAGGAUAAUACCUUCGGCUAAUGACGGUACCUGAAGAAUAAGCACCGGCUAACUACGUG